GGGACCCGCACAAGCGGUGGAUGAUGUGGUUUAAUUCGAUGCAACGCGAAAAACCUUACCCACCUUUGACAUGUACGGAAUCCUUUAGAGAUAGAGGAGUGCUCGAAAGAGAACCGUAACACAGGUGCUGCAUGGCUGUCGUCAGCCCGUGUCGUGAGAUGUUGGGUUAAGUCCCGCAACGAGCGCAACCCUUGUCAUUAGUUGCUACAUUCAGUUGGGCACUCUAAUGAGACUGCCGGUGACAAACCGGAGGAAGGUGGGGAUGACGUCAAGUCCUCAUGGCCCUUAUAGGUGGGGCUACACACGUCAUACAAUGGAUGGUACAAAGGGUCGCCAACCCGCGAGGGGGAGCCAAUCCCAUAAAGCCAUUCGUAGUCCGGAUCGCAGUCUGCAACUCGACUGCGUGAAGUCGGAAUCGCUAGUAAUCGUGGAUCAGCAUGUCACGGUGAAUACGUUCCCGGGUCUU
This 466-nucleotide ribosomal RNA is filed under the name uncultured Acidovorax sp. RNAcentral describes it as "bacterial SSU rRNA". It matches the Rfam family "Bacterial small subunit ribosomal RNA", at positions 916 to 1382 of the family's 1533-position model. Lineage: Bacteria; Pseudomonadati; Pseudomonadota; Betaproteobacteria; Burkholderiales; Comamonadaceae. The record is from RNAcentral.